ACAUGCAGUCGAGCGAAUCUGAUGCGGAGCUUGCUCCCUGAGAUUAGCGGCGGACGGGUGAGUAACACGUGGGCAACCUGCCUAUAAGACUGGGAUAACUUCGGGAAACCGGAGCUAAUACCGGAUACGUUCUUUUCUCGCAUGAGAGAAGAUGGAAAGACGGUUUACGCUGUCACUUAUAGAUGGGCCCGCGGCGCAUUAGCUAGUUGGUGAGGUAAUGGCUCACCAAGGCGACGAUGCGUAGCCGACCUGAGAGGGUGAUCGGCCACACUGGGACUGAGACACGGCCCAGACUCCUACGGGAGGCAGCAGUAGGGAAUCUUCCGCAAUGGACGAAAGUCUGACGGAGCAACGCCGCGUGAACGAAGAAGGCCUUCGGGUCGUAAAGUUCUGUUGUUAGGGAAGAACAAGUACCAGAGUAACUGCUGGUACCUUGACGGUACCUAACCAGAAAGCCACGGCUAACUACGUGCCAGCAGCCGCGGUAAUACGUAGGUGGCAAGCGUUGUCCGGAAUUAUUGGGCGUAAAGCGCGCGCAGGUGGUUCCUUAAGUCUGAUGUGAAAGCCCACGGCUCAACCGUGGAGGGUCAUUGGAAACUGGGGAACUUGAGUGCAGAAGAGGAAAGUGGAAUUCCAAGUGUAGCGGUGAAAUGCGUAGAGAUUUGGAGGAACACCAGUGGCGAA
This 684-nucleotide ribosomal RNA is filed under the name unidentified microorganism. RNAcentral describes it as "bacterial SSU rRNA". It matches the Rfam family "Bacterial small subunit ribosomal RNA", at positions 53 to 719 of the family's 1533-position model. The record is from RNAcentral.